RNAcentral lists this ribosomal RNA (465 nucleotides) under Vreelandella stevensii. RNAcentral describes it as "partial 16S ribosomal RNA". It matches the Rfam family "Bacterial small subunit ribosomal RNA", at positions 338 to 795 of the family's 1533-position model. Lineage: Bacteria; Pseudomonadati; Pseudomonadota; Gammaproteobacteria; Oceanospirillales; Halomonadaceae. The record is from RNAcentral.
CCUACGGGUGGCUGCAGUGGGGAAUAUUGGACAAUGGGCGAAAGCCUGAUCCAGCCAUGCCGCGUGUGUGAAGAAGGCCUUCGGGUUGUAAAGCACUUUCAGUGGGGAAGAAAGCCUUGGGGCUAAUACCCUCGAGGAAGGACAUCACCCACAGAAGAAGCACCGGCUAACUCCGUGCCAGCAGCCGCGGUAAUACGGAGGGUGCGAGCGUUAAUCGGAAUUACUGGGCGUAAAGCGCGCGUAGGCGGUCUGAUAAGCCGGUUGUGAAAGCCCCGGGCUCAACCUGGGAACGGCAUCCGGAACUGUCAGGCUGGAGUGCAGGAGAGGAAGGUAGAAUUCCCGGUGUAGCGGUGAAAUGCGUAGAGAUCGGGAGGAAUACCAGUGGCGAAGGCGGCCUUCUGGACUGACACUGACGCUGAGGUGCGAAAGCGUGGGUAGCAAACAGGAUUAGAUACCCGGGUAGUC